UACGUAGGGUGCGAGCGUUAAUCGGAAUUACUGGGCGUAAAGCGUGCGCAGGCGGUUCGUUAAGUUCGUUGUGAAAGCCCCGGGCUCAACCUGGGAACUGCAAUGGAAACUGGCGGGCUUGAGUGUGGCAGAGGGGGGUGGAAUUCCGCGUGUAGCGGUGAAAUGCGCAGAUAUCAGGAGGAACACCGGUGGCGAAGGCGGGUCUCUGGGCCGAUACUGACGCUGAGGAGCGAAAGCGUGGGGAGCGAACAGG
RNAcentral lists this ribosomal RNA (253 nucleotides) under uncultured bacterium. RNAcentral's name for it is "partial 16S ribosomal RNA". It matches the Rfam family "Bacterial small subunit ribosomal RNA", at positions 524 to 776 of the family's 1533-position model. The record is from RNAcentral.